RNAcentral lists this transfer RNA (74 nucleotides) under Sphingobacteriaceae bacterium. RNAcentral describes it as "tRNA-Asp". It matches the Rfam family "tRNA". From Rfam's summary of the family: Transfer RNA (tRNA) molecules are approximately 80 nucleotides in length. The record is from RNAcentral. Lineage: Bacteria; Pseudomonadati; Bacteroidota; Sphingobacteriia; Sphingobacteriales; Sphingobacteriaceae.
GAUGAUGUAACUCAGCUGGUAGAGUGACCCUUUGUCAUUGGGUAAGUUCGUGGGUUCAAGUCCCAUCAUCAUCG